UUCAUGACUCUCGGCAACGGAUAUCUCGGCUCUCGCAUCGAUGAAGAACGUAGCGAAAUGCGAUACCUGGUGUGAAUUGCAGAAUCCCGCGAACCAUCGAGUCUUUGAACGCAAGUUGCGCCCGAGGCCGUCUGGUCGAGGGCACGCCUGCCUGGGCGUCACGC
RNAcentral lists this ribosomal RNA (164 nucleotides) under Pharus latifolius. RNAcentral's name for it is "5.8S ribosomal RNA". It matches the Rfam family "5.8S ribosomal RNA". From Rfam's summary of the family: 5.8S ribosomal RNA (5.8S rRNA) is a component of the large subunit of the eukaryotic ribosome. It is transcribed by RNA polymerase I as part of the 45S precursor that also contains 18S and 28S rRNA. Functionally, it is thought that 5.8S rRNA may be involved in ribosome translocation. The record is from RNAcentral. Lineage: Eukaryota; Viridiplantae; Streptophyta; Magnoliopsida; Poales; Poaceae.